ACUUUCAACAAUGGAUCUCUUGGUUCCGGCAUCGAUGAAGAACGCAGCGAACUGCGAUAAGUAAUGUGAAUUGCAGAAUUCAGUGAAUCAUCGAGUCUUUGAACGCACAUUGCGCCCCCUGGCAUUCCGGGGGGCAUGCCUGUCCGAGCGUCAUUGC
This 157-nucleotide ribosomal RNA is filed under the name Aspergillus unguis. Its description in RNAcentral is "5.8S ribosomal RNA". It matches the Rfam family "5.8S ribosomal RNA". Rfam says of the family: 5.8S ribosomal RNA (5.8S rRNA) is a component of the large subunit of the eukaryotic ribosome. It is transcribed by RNA polymerase I as part of the 45S precursor that also contains 18S and 28S rRNA. The record is from RNAcentral. RNAcentral also lists the same sequence under 2 other names. Lineage: Eukaryota; Fungi; Ascomycota; Eurotiomycetes; Eurotiales; Aspergillaceae.